UGUGAUUCUCUUACGUUUACAUCUUCUGCUAUUCCAUCCUUAAAUCCCCUUCGGUUACUCUAACAUCUAAUGUCAUGCAGUCCUUUCCAAUCCAUCUACUUUAUUCUUCACCUUAACCUAAAUCACCAUGACCAAAAAAUUGCAAAAGGCAAUGGCUAACAAAAUGAAGAAACGGGAAAUUAAGCAUGAAAUACAACUAGGGGGUGGACUAGAGUUCCUUGUGCUUGAUGAAUAGGGUACUGUCAUACAGGGUUUCAUAUCGCCUAAUCGUGUUGUCCAUUACCCAAGUAACCUCAACCGUGGAGCCACCUCCAAUAUAUUCUAUCGUAUGAGAGUGAGUUUAUCAUCGUCAAUCAGGUCCGAUAAAGUUUCAGUUUUUUUCAAACUUAGUUAUCUUUAUUAGUGCUAAUCCAAAUGGAAGAGAAUUCUCUUUGUGGCCAUUGUAUACAGUGCUUGCAUUUCGUAUCUUGCUAUUCCUACUCUUCUGGUAACGUUUCUCCUGCAAUUCAAUUUCUCAAAAGAUGUUUAUUUUUAUUUUUUAAAUGGAGUUUCUUUCUCUGUUGGGAAUGUUGAGUAGAAUAUAAUGAUAGAGAUCAAUGAGUCUGUACCCUCUGUUAAUAGAACCUUUCUUACAUUUCAACAUAAAUCCUUUUGGGACUAAA
Molecule: long non-coding RNA, 662 nt
Organism: Brassica rapa (field mustard)
Lineage: Eukaryota; Viridiplantae; Streptophyta; Magnoliopsida; Brassicales; Brassicaceae
Source: RefSeq, a predicted model, not a curated record